This 253-nucleotide ribosomal RNA is filed under the name uncultured prokaryote. RNAcentral's name for it is "partial 16S ribosomal RNA". It matches the Rfam family "Bacterial small subunit ribosomal RNA", at positions 522 to 774 of the family's 1533-position model. The record is from RNAcentral.
AAUACGGGGGGAGCAAGCGUUGUUCGGAUUUACUGGGCGUAAAGGGCGCGUAGGCGGCGCAACAAGUCACUUGUGAAAUCUCCGGGCUUAACCCGGAGCGGCCAAGUGAUACUGUCGUGCUAGAGUGCGGAAGGGGCUACUGGAAUUCUCGGUGUAGCGGUGAAAUGCGUAGAUAUCGAGAGGAACACCUGCGGCGAAGGCGGGUAGCUGGGCCGACACUGACGCUGAGGCGCGAAAGCCAGGGGAGCGAACG